UAAGAUUGUUGAAAGACUCAGAGACAUGUACCAUGAAUUGGGUAUAUUCCGCAAGCUGCGGCACACAUGGUCUGCCUCCGUGUCGUCCUACCUGCUUCAGGGCCCUCUACUUCUUCCCCCAAGAUUGCCAUUAUGAUUAACAAAUCUGACGAGAGCAAUUUAAUUGGUGACACAUCAUAUUUAUUCUGCAACUGCAUGUGAAUUCUCAUCUUGCGCCUACCUCUUUUGCUUACCAGUGAAGAUGGAGAGCUUUAGGCAAAAAAAGAAA
Long non-coding RNA from Triticum dicoccoides, 268 nucleotides. RefSeq lists it as uncharacterized. The record is from RefSeq and is a predicted model, not a curated record. Lineage: Eukaryota; Viridiplantae; Streptophyta; Magnoliopsida; Poales; Poaceae. The transcript has 3 exons.